GACGUAGGUGGCAAGCGUUGUCCGGAAUGAUUGGGCGUAAAGCGCGCGCAGGCGGUGCGGCAAGUCCAUGGUGAAAGGGCGUGGCUUAACCACGCGAGGGCCGUGGGGACUGUCGUGCUGGAGGGGAGCAGAGGCGUGUGGAAUGCCGGGUGGAGCGGUGAAAUGCGUAGAGAUCCGGCAGAACACCAGAGGCGAAGGCGGCACGCUGGGCUCAGUCCUGACGCUGAGGCGCGAAAGCGUGGGGAGCGAACCGGAUUAGAUACCCGGGUAGUCCACGCUGUAAACGAUGGACACUAGGUGUGGGGGGCAUCGACCCCCUCCGUGCCGAAGCUAACGCGAUAAGUGUCCCGCCUGGGGAGUACGGCCGCAAGGCUAAA
This 377-nucleotide ribosomal RNA is filed under the name uncultured bacterium. Its description in RNAcentral is "bacterial SSU rRNA". It matches the Rfam family "Bacterial small subunit ribosomal RNA", at positions 524 to 898 of the family's 1533-position model. The record is from RNAcentral.